GCGGGAGUAGUUCAGUUGGUAGAAUGCUUCCUUCCCAAGGAAGAGGUCGCGGGUUCGAAUCCCGUCUCCCGCUCCA
RNAcentral lists this transfer RNA (76 nucleotides) under Candidatus Komeilibacteria bacterium RIFCSPLOWO2_01_FULL_45_10. RNAcentral's name for it is "tRNA-Gly". It matches the Rfam family "tRNA". Rfam says of the family: Transfer RNA (tRNA) molecules are approximately 80 nucleotides in length. Their secondary structure includes four short double-helical elements and three loops (D, anti-codon, and T loops). The record is from RNAcentral. Lineage: Bacteria; Candidatus Komeiliibacteriota.